Non-coding RNA from Cajanus cajan (pigeon pea), 796 nucleotides. NCBI's taxonomy places the organism in Eukaryota, Viridiplantae, Streptophyta, Magnoliopsida, Fabales, Fabaceae. The record is from RefSeq and is a predicted model, not a curated record.
CGAAGAGGAUGAUGGGGUCUCCAUUGGAAAGGUGCUUUGGCAUCAGCCGAAGGGCCUGGCUGCUGAGGCUCAGAGGAAUAAUAGAUCCAUAGAACCUGUUUUAAUGAGUCACUUGUUUGAUUCUGAACCUAAUUGGAAUGAUAUGGAAUUGCUGAUAAAAUGGAAAGGCCAGUCACAUUUGCAUUGUCAGUGGAAGUCUAUUGUUGAGUUGCAAAAUCAUAGUGGUUUUAAGAAAGUUUUGAAUUAUAGAAAGAAAGUAACAGAGGACAUCAGGUACAGGAUGACAAUCUCACGGGAGGAGAUUGAGGUCAAUGAUGUGAGUAAGGAGAUGGAUUUAGAUAUUAUCAAGAAAAAUUGUCAGGUUUUUUCCUCCAUUUCAUUGCUUUGGUGUUUCCUUUUUCUUGUUACCUUGAAUGUAGUUUGAAUUGGACCAUGACUUGCAUUUUUAGGUGGAAAGAAUAAUUGCAGAUAGGAUUAGCAAAGAUAACAAUGGCAAUGUUAUUCCAUAAUACUUGGUCAAGUGGAAAGGACUAUCUUAUGCUUAAGUGACUUGGAAUGCUGCUCAAUAUAUAUAUAUGGAGAAGGACAUUGAUAUUGCUUUUGCUCAACACGCUAUUGAUGAGUAUAAGGCUUGCGAAGCUUCAAUUUCAAUUCAAGGAAAGAUGGUAGAUCUUCAGCGUAAAAAGAGCAAAGUACUGUUAACGCCCUUGCCAUUGUUCUACCAUUUGUCUUCAACAAGCUAGUUAUCAAAUCCCAAUUAUGAUCCUGAAUUGUCAAGAUAAUGUUUGAAUCAUGA